RNAcentral lists this ribosomal RNA (253 nucleotides) under uncultured bacterium. RNAcentral's name for it is "partial 16S ribosomal RNA". It matches the Rfam family "Bacterial small subunit ribosomal RNA", at positions 524 to 776 of the family's 1533-position model. The record is from RNAcentral.
UACAGAGGUGGCAAGCGUUGUUCGGAAUUACUGGGCGUAAAGGGCGCGUAGGCGGUCAGGUCAGUCCCGUGUGAAAUCCCUCGGCUCAACUGAGGAACUGCACGGGAAACUGCCUGGCUUGAGUUCGGGAGAGGGAAGCGGAAUUCCGGGUGUAGCGGUGAAAUGCGUAGAUAUCCGGAGGAACACCGGUGGCGAAGGCGGCUUCCUGGACCGACACUGACGCUGAGGCGCGAAAGUGUGGGGAGCGAACAGG